CAGGAUUAAAUAAAAACAUAAGUUAUAAAGGGAACAGCAUUAUCAGAAAAAUGGGGAAUUCUAUGAAUAUAACAAAUACUUCAGAUACAACUAUCAGAGUUCUUGUUGCACCAGAUCCUGCAUGGAAAAUUUCUGAUACAUUUGUAGGAGCAAACUCGUUUACCGUUGGAAAAUAUGACGAAAUUCACACUUUGAAAGACCUUUGGACUGUAUGGAACACUAUAAUCGGACUUAAAGACUUUGAAAACAAAUACGACAUGGUGUCUCAAGUCAAAUCGCUUUUUGAUAAAUAUGGAAUACAGGUUGGACAAGGAAAGAUGUGUAAAAUGUAUGAUUCAGAAGUUUUAAAUGUUGUUGACAACAUCAAACCAGCAGCCUGGUCUGCAAUGAAGGACACUCUAGAAGUCGCUGUUGCAGUUUUUGUUGAUGACUGUAACGGUAAUUCAAAGAUUGUUUAUUACCAAUCAGAAAACAACUUAUCUUGGAAAGUUUACAACAAGUAUAUAACGCGAAUCAUUCAUGGUACAAUGUGGGAAGAUGGGACGAAUUAUCAUGACUUCAAAAAGAUGAUACGGAAGUAAAAGAAAUAUGUCGUGGUCACAUGAUUUAUGAUAAUAUCCUCAGUUAACUUGUUAUAAUGAGAACAAUAAAUACUUUACAUGUUAUCUAAAUAAAUGCUUUCAAGCCGA
Mytilus californianus (California mussel) is the source of this 689-nucleotide long non-coding RNA. RefSeq lists it as uncharacterized. The record is from RefSeq and is a predicted model, not a curated record. The transcript has 2 exons. Lineage: Eukaryota; Metazoa; Mollusca; Bivalvia; Mytilida; Mytilidae.